RNAcentral lists this ribosomal RNA (270 nucleotides) under uncultured bacterium. Its description in RNAcentral is "partial 16S ribosomal RNA". It matches the Rfam family "Bacterial small subunit ribosomal RNA", at positions 29 to 282 of the family's 1533-position model. The record is from RNAcentral.
AGCGAACGUUAGCGGCGGGCCUAACACAUGCAAGUCGCACGAGAAAGGGACUUCGGUCCUAAGUAAAGUGGCGGACGGGUGAGUAACACGUGGGUAAUCUGCCUUUCAGUGGGGGAUAACUGUCCGAAAGGAUAGCUAAUACCGCAUACGUCGGCGAGGUCUUCGGACUUUGUCGGGAAAACCGGCCUCUCCAUGGAAGCUGGUGCUGAAAGAGGAGCCCGCGGCCCAUCAGCUAGUUGGUGAGGUAAAAGCUCACCAAGGCUAAGACGG